UGGGUCGGUCCGGAGUGGCUGGGUUACCAAAGCAACAGCAACAACAACAACAACAGCAAUUCUUAUCAGCAGCAGCAGCAGCAGCAGCAAACCCAGCCACGCUAAUUUGACCGACCU
This 117-nucleotide small RNA is filed under the name Macrostomum lignano. RNAcentral describes it as "Nematode sRNA ceN72-3_ceN74-2". It matches the Rfam family "Nematode sRNA ceN72-3_ceN74-2". Lineage: Eukaryota; Metazoa; Platyhelminthes; Macrostomidae. The record is from Rfam by way of RNAcentral.